Prionailurus viverrinus (fishing cat) is the source of this 429-nucleotide long non-coding RNA. RefSeq lists it as uncharacterized. The record is from RefSeq and is a predicted model, not a curated record. NCBI's taxonomy places the organism in Eukaryota, Metazoa, Chordata, Mammalia, Carnivora, Felidae. The transcript has 3 exons.
CAGCAGUGAGGGAGAGAGAGAAGGCCCCCCAGGGAAGCUCAGAGAAGAGGGAAGGUCGCCCAGAGUUGCAACAUAGUGCAACAAGAGUUGUGAUGAUGAAAGUGAAGACACCCAUCCUUCUUUGGGAGGGUCAAGGAAGGCCUCCCGGAAGGACCCCUCCUUCACACAGCAGAGCUUCUGGACAGUAGAGCUGAGGAAAGCAUGUCUACCUGCAUCUACAUAUCUGGUUACAGGAUCUACCCAGAGAUAGAACCUGAUGGACAAAGAGAAAAAAAACUCCUGCUGGAAAUCACAGUAUGAGAAGUUACUACGUCAGACCUCAAAGAAAGAAUGCAGUCAAACCUCCGUGAGAAGGACCUUACUAGGUACUGUUAACAACUAACACAACAGGGAACCCAUGCCUCCCAAGUCAAAAGGCAUAAGCCACAU